GACGAACGCUGGCGGCGCGCUUAACACAUGCAAGUCGAACGGAGCUGAGAGAAGCUUGCUUUUCUCAGCUUAGUGGCGAACGGGUGAGUAACGCGUGAGUAACCUGCCCUGGAGUGGGGGACAACAGUUGGAAACGACUGCUAAUACCGCAUAAGCCCACGGAUUCGCAUGGAUCUGCGGGAAAAGGAUUUAUUCGCUUCAGGAUGGACUCGCGUCCAAUUAGCUAGUUGGUGAGGUAACGGCCCACCAAGGCGACGAUUGGUAGCCGGACUGAGAGGUUGAACGGCCACAUUGGGACUGAGACACGGCCCAGACUCCUACGGGAGGCAGCAGUGGGGGAUAUUGCACAAUGGGGGAAACCCUGAUGCAGCGACGCCGCGUGGAGGAAGAAGGUUUUCGGAUUGUAAACUCCUGUCGUUAGGGACGAUAAUGACGGUACCUAACAAGAAAGCAC
This 454-nucleotide ribosomal RNA is filed under the name uncultured bacterium. Its description in RNAcentral is "bacterial SSU rRNA". It matches the Rfam family "Bacterial small subunit ribosomal RNA", at positions 28 to 493 of the family's 1533-position model. The record is from RNAcentral.